RNAcentral lists this unclassified non-coding RNA (332 nucleotides) under soil metagenome. RNAcentral describes it as "partial contains 5.8S ribosomal RNA, internal transcribed spacer 2, and large subunit ribosomal RNA". The stretch from base 1 to 120 matches the Rfam family "5.8S ribosomal RNA", at positions 35 to 154 of the family's 154-position model. The record is from RNAcentral.
GAUGAAGAACGUAGCGAAAUGCGAUAAGUAGUGUGAAUUGCAGAAUUCAGUGAAUCAUCGAAUCUUUGAACGCACAUUGCGCCCUUUGGUAUUCCUUAGGGCAUGCCUGUUCGAGCGUCAUUUAAACCUUCAAGCUAAGCUUGGUGUUGGGUGACUGUCCGCCUCACGGCGGACUCGCCUCAAAAUUAUUGGCGGCCGGUACAUUGGCUUCGAGCGCAGCAGAAACGCGAACUCGGGCCCGUCGUAUUGGCUCCCAGAAGCUAUCUUCACAAUUUUGACUUCGGAUCAGGUAGGGAUACCCGCUGAACUUAAGCAUAUCAAUAAGCGGAGGA